GGUCAAGCUACAAAGGGCGCAUGGUGAAUGCCUUGGCACUAGGAGCCGAAGAAGGACGUGAUAAGCUGCGAUAAGCUUUGGGUAGGCGCAAAUAGCCAGUGAUCCAGAGAUUUCCGAAUGGGGCAACCCCCAUAGUUAACACUAUGGACUAUAUACUGAAUACAUAGGUAUAUAGAGGUAAACCCGGGGAACUGAAACAUCUAAGUACCCGGAGGAAGAGAAAGACUGA
Molecule: non-coding RNA, 229 nt
Organism: Clostridium sp. BL8
Lineage: Bacteria; Bacillati; Bacillota; Clostridia; Eubacteriales; Clostridiaceae
Source: Rfam